UUAGCAUCUCUCUGACUACUCCCAUGUAUUUUUGCCCUGGGAGUGACUGUGCCUGUGUUUGGAGCCUUCCUGCACCUGCCCUGAGAAGUGGCAGCUUUGUCUUCCAUGUCCUCUGUGCGGGGUGGCUGUCUGGCAGCAAAGUUUUAUUAUUUGCCCAUCUGUGAGACUGCUGUCUCGGGCAUUUCAGCAUCUUUAUGGACCUGUCUUUCAGGACCUUCUGCUUCCUCUCGUUACUUAUUUAUUGCAUUUAGCUGCUUAUUUGGCUGACAGUGCACUGUCCGUCCUUGUAUACCUUAUACCCUCCGAUGCGCCCCAUACAUUUUAAAGACAAUUUUAUUAAAAAAAAUAAAAGUAGGUGUGUUAAAUAACGAUUUGUCUGGCCAAGACCUCAAAGGAAGAUUUAGCUGAGCUACAGUGUGAGCUUGAUGCUGUUGUGGAAGCUGAGGCAGUAUUUAGUUUUCCUUCUGCAACGUAAUUUGUUGCAGCAUACCCAAACAAUUGCCAUUGAGAUGCUGGGCAAGCAAACAAUGAAGGGAAAGCAAUCCACCAGCAAUUUAACACUUUCUGAUCUCCAAACACUCAUCCAGGUGUGUAAUGCUGGCAUAUUGGUUGACACUGUGAGUUUAAUGCAAGCACGUAUUUAAGGGGUCACUGUUUUGUUCUUUGAUCUUCAGUGAAACACAGCUGAAAUAACACGCAGGGACUUCUGGGCUGCUAGAAGUUUUACACAGAACCUACUGCAGAGUCCUUUUCCUCUGGAGAUGGAUGAUCUACAAUGACUAUCUAUUUCUUUCCCUGGUAUUACUAAUGUGAAGUGUAUAUUGAGUAUUGCUUUGUGAGAAAUCCUUUGAUACUUUUGUUAAACAUUGUCCUUUGCUAAAGCUUUAUCUCUAGCAACAAAUCUGGUGUGUUUUGUACAGACGAAAUAAGCGAUAAAGCAGCUUAUUCUGUUAAAGGAGACCAUUCACAUUUAAAAUGAGAUUAUUCUUUACAAGAAACGCGGCUUAUCUGUCCUAGAGAGAGGUUCCUUCCUCUCCUCAGAUAUCGCCCUGAAAAGCACAACAAAGAAGCAUCUCUUCGGAGAUCUUCCUAAGGCAGCGGCUACCAAACCAUAAGAAAUUCCCCAGAGCUGCCAUCUCAGCGCUUCUCACAGCUGCGCCAUCAGUUCCAGGGCCGUGCCCGGAAGGGUCUGAAAAGCCCCAUCCCCUUAGGUGUGCUGUCCUGAUUCAACCCAGGGCACGGGCCCGGGUGAGAGGUGCUAACAGAAAAGUCACCUAGAACGGUGGGUAUUAUCCAGUACUGCUUCUUCAUGGUGACAGCAAGGUACAAAAAGUUCGAGGAACUUCAGGGAUGGCAGGCUAAAGGACUGAGGCGCAGGCAGCGUCCUCCCAUCCCCUUCCACCAGCAGGGAACAACACUAAAAGGCACAGCUGAACGGACUGCGGCUCAGAGGCUGCUGCCACGGGGAGACGGGGCUUCUCUGUCACGGGAUCGACCUUCACAACCCCGGGCCUGCCGGGCGCGACCCUUCUCGGAGGGCAGGGCCCGCCCGCAGCCAGCCGGGCGCAGCUCGCGGCCACUGCGGCGCCAGGAGGGGCAGCGCAGAGGCUCGAGCCGCACCGCCAUGGCGGCGGAGGGGCGGCCCGGCCGUAGGGCGGCAGUUCCAGAGCCGGAGGGACGGUUAGGCUCCGCCAGAGGGAGCCGGAGACCGCCGGCCCGCGGCUGAGCUUUUGACCUGGAAUUUGCCACAGUGCUGAUCUGCUGCCUUUCUGAAGGUGAAGGUUGGGUUUGUCAUCUCUGGAAUUAAUAACACCUGUGUGAGUGAGACUGUCCUGUGAGUUUCCUACUCCUGUUGCAGCUCUGGGAAGACCAGCUUCCGCAUCCUCAAGGGUUUGGGAUGCGGGCGCAGAGCACUGACUGCUGCAGCCAUGGAGCAAACAGGCGAGUCCUGCACGUGUGCAGCUGAGGCAGUGGAAUUGGCUUUACCUUCAUCAUCCAGACCGAGGACAGCAAAGGCAAGGAACUGGUUCUGACUGACAGAGUAUGUUUGCUUUGGGUCCGUGUGACCCGUGGUGUCCAUGUCAAUCAGUAGCUGUUCAGUAGUUGUGAUGCUUGAGAACUGCUUUCAUGAAGCUCAAUGUAAAGAAACCAAACAAACACGCAGUGUCAUGUCGUGCUGAUGCUUUUGAAACCAGAUUACCUAGCAAAUGAGUGACAUUAUUCUGUAGGUAACAUAUAAACGUGAGGAUAACUAAUAGAAGAAAUAAUUAAAGGUAGAACAGACAAAAAAAAAAUGCAUCCUUGGAUGCUUGAUCUGUAUGGAUGUCCAGUACCUGCAGGGCUGCCACCAAAUACUGCCUGCUUGCCUCUGGUGACUGCAGCAUCAAACUAGCCUUUGGGUUCCUUGUAAUGACAAAGUCCACAGAGAAAGGUAAGAGCACUGAGGAAAGGAUUUAUGCUGGAAAUACAACUCAGCCUUACAGUGAACUAAGACACAGCUCUAGGAAUUUUGUAUAGUAAGCCGCAGCAGUCGUUUAACACUUAAAAAAUAACCUUUACUUUGCAGACAGAAACAGCUACUGGCAAUACACAUCUCAGUAACUUUAGACAUGAUUAUCUCUGCUUUUCUGUUGUCUUUGCAUGGUCUCUGAACAGGACAGUUUGGGGUGGUGGGAGGAGUGCUGUUGGGCAGUGUAGUUGGUGAUGGAGAUUCUGCACAGGGUGGGUGGAGCAAGCCUCUAGAAAUCACAGCAAGCUCAGAAGCCAGGGAGUAGAAGGCUGACAGGUGCCUGAAUUCAGCAGGAGCUGAUGCCUCAGACUGAGGUGGAAUAUUGCUAUCAAGGUAACAGCUGGAAUAAAAUCAACAGUGCCUAUUUAUCUGAUCCUGUAUCUACCUACAUACACACACACAGGAAACUCCUUACACAUAUCUACACAUACACACAUACCCUCAUGCUAGGAAGAGCAGAAGAAUUGCUAUUGAAAAAUAAUAGUAACCCAGCAGUUACUAGCUCGCAAUUCCACAGCUCUUAGCAUGCCCUCAACCUCCUCUGUUGUUUGGGGGUGGGGAGAGUGUUUUUAAUGGAAUUGUGAGUGAGCAAAUGGUGCUUCCAGGGCUAAGUCUGUAAUUACUGAUAAUCACGUUGAAACUCCAGCAAAUUCUGAUAGUGGUACGUGCUGCGUUUCCAGAGAAGGACUGAUAAAAGGCACAUAGGUGUGUUUGAUCCCCAAAAUAUAAUUUGAUUUGCCAGCAGAUUUGUGUGCACACGGCAUGUGAAAAUACCUGUUUGGAACUAUGAUCGUUGGCAAGACCUGAGGCUGGAAAUCAAAACCAGAGAAUCGUAAGUGAGCAGAGGACUUGAAGACAACUACAGAAUUCACAAGUAAUUGCUGCUUAACUGACAAGUACCUUCAUUUAUAUAAACAUGGAGGGUAACGAAGGAGAAGCUCUGCAUGCAGCCAGAAUGAAGGUAAUACCUCUGGCUAUCACGCACACCAGGCAGACUAGCCAAAGAAGCAUGACUUAAGUCUGAUGCAGGCUGCUCAGUUCAAACACUUCUAGCCAGCCAGCAUUUUAAACUUUAAUGCAGACAAGUAUGGUUGUGUUCAUCAACAGAUGAUAACUUAAUAUUUAGCUUAUUCCGGAAGCUCAUCAUCUUCAGCUCAUGCUGCUGCAAACUGCAGUAUGCUGCAGCUGGUCUCCAGAAACAGGUCUGCUUAAAGCUUAGAGGAAUCUGAAGUAAAUGUAGUGUAGUUUGAAUGCUGCAGAAGAAAAAAAAAAGUAAAAGGCAAGCUAUUGCUGGAGUUAAGAAUAAAUUCCAAAUUCAGCUUAUCUAGCAAAGGGCUCAGACGUUCUCUUCUGCUUCAUCCAAGAAAGUCUUGCACUUGCUCCUUGGAAAAUUAGAGAUGAGAUGAAGCAUUUCAGGAAUGCUUCAACAAUGAACCUUUUUGUUUUUAAUGCAGAAAUGCUGAUCAUGCAGACUUUCAGAUGAUAAAAUGCCACAGCUUGUUUGUUUGAAAGGAUUGCUUCUUUACUUCAAACAGACCCUAAAUACUUUAAGAGGAAUACAAAGAUUUCAAGUGUUUUGAGAACCCAGAAGAGAUGUCCUGGUGCUGCAUUUCAGAUAGAGAGGAAUGCUUUGCUUUCACAGAAACCAAUGUGUUUCACGUUCUAGUCAUUGUGGUUGCUGUGCUACCUGAGCACAGC
This is a long non-coding RNA of Lagopus muta (rock ptarmigan), 4207 nucleotides long. RefSeq lists it as uncharacterized. The record is from RefSeq and is a predicted model, not a curated record. The transcript has 4 exons. Lineage: Eukaryota; Metazoa; Chordata; Aves; Galliformes; Phasianidae.